UUAAAAUAUAGUAUGGUACAACUUCUUAUUAGCAGUGGAUGGUUUGUAGGGCUUUCACACGAGGAUACACAAGUCCACUUGCAGACCUUCAUUAAGCUUACUGAUACAUUCAUUAUGACUGGGGUAAGUACAGAUUAUGUGAGGCUAACACUAUUUCCCCAUUCAGUUUUGGGGGAAGUUAAAAGGUGGUUAAAUGUAGAGUUGGCCAAUUCAAUUACAUCAUGGGAUGACUUAGCCAAAAAAUUCCUCAUCAGAUUCUUUCCAUCAGGUAAGACUGGAAGACUUUGCAGUGAGAUAGUGAGCUUUAAAAAAAAGCCUGAUGAAAACUACUAUCAUGCUUGGGGACACUUCAAUUCUCUUCUUUGGGAUUGUUCAUACCACCAAUAGUCCAAUGAGGUACUUGCUCAUACUUUUGUAGAAGCUUUUAAUCACAAUACGAAGAUUUUACUAGAUUCAGCCGCAGGUGGUCAAGCACUGGAAUUGACUUAUGAUGAGCUGUACACAUUACUAAACCGUAUAGUACAAGGAAGUCGAGAGUGGUAUUCCGAUUCUAGAAGUGCCACAAAAAGAAUUGUGGGUGUAUUAGAGGUGGACCAAUUCACAGACUUAUUAGCAUAGGUUUAUGCCUUACAAAAUUUGAUCAACACUCAUUUUAGUAGCAUGAAGUUUGGAGCAGCACAACCUACAGCCACAUUCAAUUUUAUCCAACAAGCUGCAGGUUGGUGUGUAGUAUAUGAAAUAAUGGCCAUUCUGUGGCCAUGUGUGCUUCAAAUCUAGCAUUUGUGAUGUCUGUAGGCGAUGAUCAAAGUCCAAAUUAUAGUAAUGCCUACAAUAUAAAGUGGAAGACUCAUCCACCAAAUAACCUAUGGAAUGCCCCACAGCCACAAGCCCAAUUAAAUCAGUCAACUAGCUACAUGGAAGAGAUGUUGAAGCAGAUUCUUGCUGGUCAAGCACAAAUGGCUACAGAUAUGAAAAAUCAAUAAGUAAAAUUAAAAAAUCAGAAAGCAACUCAGAGAUUCUUAGAGUUGCAGUUGGGGCAGUUACAACAAGCAUUGAACACUAGCGCUCAACGUAGUGGUAGAUACAAAGAAUCCAAAACAAGAUAUGUAAAUCACCCUGAGAAGUGUUAAAGAUCUUCAAGGAGAAACUCCCAAGGCAACAAAGGAGGUAGAUACAGAUAUGACUCCCCAAUAAGUUUCUGAAAAAGUUGCUAAAAAUUCAAGGAAGUUUGAAUACUUGAAAGAAAAAGUUGCUACAGAAGAAGUGAAGAAGAUGUCACUACUACCCUUAUCUCAAAGGCAAAUAAAAGUGAAGGAGGAUGUUAUGUUCAAAAAGUUACAUUCAGAGGACUUUAGAUUAACUUACUCUUGUUAGAUGUUUUACAGACUAUGCCUAAGCACGCAAAGUACUUAAGGGAUAUGGUGGAAAAUAAGGUAAAAUUGUAGGAUGUGGGAGCAAUAAAACUUACUGAAGAGUGUAGCACUGUGAUGACACAUAAAAUCCCUAAGAAAUUGAAAGAUCAAGGGAAGUUUGCUAUCUCUAUUCAAAUUAGGAGUAAAGCGGUCCAUGCAUUGAGUGACUUAGUGGUGAGCAUAAACGUGAUGCCCCUAUCACUAUUUAAAACAUUGGGAUUGAGGGAUCCUAAAUCGACACCAGUGGUUAUGAAGCUCAUAAAUGGAUCCAUAAUAUAUUCGGAAAGUGUAAUAGAGGGCAUUUUCAUAAAGGUUGGUAAAUUUAUUAUACCUGCUGGCUUAUUUGUUCUUGAUUUUAAGGCAGACGAAUAGGUACCAAUCAUCUUGGGGAAUCCAUUCUUAGAAACUGGAGGGGCCUUGAUUGAUGUUAGAAAAGGCAUGCUCAAAAUAAGGGUAGAUGAUAAAGAGGUGGUAUUUGAUGUUUACAAAACGCCUAUCAUAAAAUCCCAAAUUAAAGAUUUAUAUAUGAUCAAUGUUAUUAAAGGGAAAAAAUAUGGGGUGGUUAAUCCACAAAAGACCUCUUCAGAAUACCUAGUUGAACAGCCUAAUAUGCCUAAUGUUUCCCAACAUAAUGAAGGUUGAAGUUAAGAGAGAUGUUGACCUUAAGAGUGUAAACUCAAGAGGUCAGAAACGAAUGAAAAAAUGGCUCCCAAAGGGAAGUAAAAGGGUGAAGGAAUAUGGUUAAGUUUAUAUGGGUCAUGCCGCGACGCUAAAUUAGGUGUUGCUUGGGAGGCAACCCAAGUUAAUUAGGUAUAUUUUCUUUUUAGGUUUUUUUAGUUUUUAUUUCACGUAGUUUAUGUUUUUGGUUGAGUCAUAGGUUAAUGGAAAGUCUGAGUACCAUAAACUUGAGCUAAGGAGCAUGACAAAAACUAAGUGUGGGGUCCCGCAGAUCCUUCUUGAUGUAAAAAUAUGCUACUAGCUAGGCCUAAAGGCUUCAGGGAGUAUUUCUAUCUCUUACCUUUAAAUUCACUUUAGUUACAAAGUAGAUUUUUAAGUGUGGGGUGGGUAAAUCUCAAAUUUUAGCUCAAUUUAAAAAGAAAAUUGUGUAAGAUAUUCUUGUUGGUGUUAUUUUUUGAUUGCAUGAUGCAAGUGGGUUUGUUGGUAAAAGCAUUUUAAUUGAGUGAAUUGCUAUAUUUGAGACUCUUAGGCUCAUAUUUGUGACUCUUGUUCUUGUUGGCUUAAAUUUGAAUUCAUGCUAUUGUUGGUUGGGAGUCUAUGAUGAUCCUAUUAAGUUGAGCAUGUGGCAUGUGCGUGUGAGGUUUUUGAUAUUCCUUAUUGCAUAUGAUGCUAGAACUUUCCCGGUGUGUAUGUGAAGCGAAAUAAAGAAUGUGGGUUUAGGAGAUGAUUUAGGAAUUUCUUUGAUAGCCUGAUUUUAUACCUUCUAUUUGUCCUACCCUUUGUGCAUUAUCAUAGUUAACCCUAUUGAGACUUUAGCUUAUUUUCUUUGGUAGUCUCAUAUGUAGCCUAAUUCCUUCUUUGAUAGACCAUAAUUUGAUCCAAAAAGCUCGUAGGCAUUUUAAUGAAAAAUUAAUUGAGUAAGAAGUUUGAGAUAUAAGAAGAAAAAGGUGAAAUUGAUGCCCCAAGGUAAUAGUUAUUGGUGUUAAUAAUUGAUGUGUGGUGGAUGGAUGUGAUAUAAUUUAUGCUAGAAAUAUUUCCAUGAUUGUGACAAAGAGAAAAAUUGAUUUAUGUGGUAGUAAACUAUGCAUCCACUAAGUGUUUGUGAAAAUGCUUAAAAGAGAUGGGAAAAAAAAGGUAAUGGGUGGAUGAAAAAAUAGUGUAAAUUGGUUGUUGGAAAUUGGUUUUAAAUGUCUUAUGUAGUGUAUUAAAGCGCUUAGAGAUGUUAGUCACUUUUCCCAAAUAUUUUCUACCCGUCUCUUAACCUACAUUACAACCCAGAAAAGUCCUAAUUGAUCCUAAGUUCAUCAUUCCGAUAUUAGUAGAGCACUACACUAAGGGCAAGCCUAUGAUUUAUUGUUUGUAACUUGUGAAUUUUUUUUCUGAGAGUGAGCGUAAUUUGAUUCUUGUACCCAUUAUGUUAUAAAGUGCAUAUUGUGAGUGAUUAUGGGCAACUCUCUUGUUGUGAGGGGAACAUGUUUGAUGAAUGUGGGUGAUUUUUAUGAUUUCCUUGAUUGAAUGAUAUGUAUGAGUUUGCCACUUAGGUGUGUCAAUUCUUGAGGCUAGGAUGUUUCGGAGUAGAAUUCUUGAGAUUUCAAUUGUGUAAAUAACAUACUUUGUGUAGAAACUUGCAUUCCAUGUAGUCAUUCUAGUACUAGUUUGAGUGUCUUUGUUUUAGUACAAGGGUAGCGUCACCUCAUAUUUUGAUGCUUAGAAUAAAGAGUUAUUCGAGGAUGAACAAGAGUUUAAGUAUGGGGUGAUGAUCUGAGGUGGUUUUGUACACUUUGGUAUCAUUAUUAUAGCUUAUUUCGCCUUGUUUUGAGAGAAUUUGUAUGCUUAACAUGUUCAUGUUGAUAUAAAUAAGACUUUAAGUGUCCAAGUGUGUGAUUACAAUGUUCAAAGUGUUUUUCAAAUAAGUUUGUGCUUAAUUGAGUCAUUUAGAGUACAACCCGAAAAACUAGUUUUACUAGCUUGAGCUAGGUGUGUGUCUAGUUGGUUUCGAUGGAUUAUAAUGUGUUUAAUUUGUUCCAAAUGGGUUAAAUGUGUAAUUAUAAGUGGAAUAAAUUUUUUGUAAUAGGAAAAGUUUAAUUUGAUUAAGUCAAGAGUCGGAAUAUUAAGUAGAAGAUCAUUGCGAAUUUACCUUAUCUUAGCUUUUAUUUUGAUUCGUCAUUGAGGAUAUUGUGUUUUUUUGAUCUCCAACUUGUGGUGUGUGAUACUGUAGGGGGCUUUGUGAGAUAAAUAUGGUGAUAUAUUGAUGAUUCAAAGGUCAAAAAUUCAUUAGAAAUACACUACAAAAG
This 4384-nucleotide long non-coding RNA is filed under the name Capsicum annuum. RNAcentral describes it as "long non-coding RNA (CANN_LNC017455)". The record is from RNAcentral. Lineage: Eukaryota; Viridiplantae; Streptophyta; Magnoliopsida; Solanales; Solanaceae.